RNAcentral lists this ribosomal RNA (408 nucleotides) under soil fungal sp. DM037. RNAcentral's name for it is "partial 28S rRNA". It matches the Rfam family "Eukaryotic large subunit ribosomal RNA", at positions 194 to 606 of the family's 3401-position model. The record is from RNAcentral. Lineage: Eukaryota; Fungi.
AACAGGACGUCACAGAGGGUGAGAAUCCCGUACGUGGUCGCUAGCUAUUGCCGUGUAAAGCCCCUUCGACGAGUCGAGUUGUUUGGGAAUGCAGCUCUAAAUGGGAGGUAAAUUUCUUCUAAAGCUAAAUAUUGGCCAGAGACCGAUAGCGCACAAGUAGAGUGAUCGAAAGAUGAAAAGCACUUUGGAAAGAGAGUCAAACAGCACGUGAAAUUGUUGAAAGGGAAGCGCUUGCAGCCAGACUUGCUUGCAGUUGCUCAUCCGGGCUUUUGCCCGGUGCACUCUUCUGCAGGCAGGCCANCAUAAAGUUUGGGCGGCGGNNUAAAGGUCUCUNGUCACGUUCCUUCCUUCGNUUUGGCCAUAUNGGGGGAGANGUCCNUACCANCCAGCCUGGACUGGNGGUCUCGC